AUUGAUCUAUCAAUACCAACACCGUGAACUUCUAUUGUCUGGGUCCGUUCCAUGGACUUAAUUGAACAUGGGAUGCAGAGAGGAAGAGCAAUCUACCUCUUUGGACCUGCAUUGACAUUCAUUUGUCAUAUGUGGGUUGGCCCCCUCUUAUCUAACCCAACACCAAACAAAACCUUUCGAAAUUUAACAUAUGCAGCUGGCCUAGCCAAUGCAUUUAACAGAGACAACUCUCAACAACGGAUAUCUUGGCUCUCGCAACGAUGAAGAACGCAGCGAAAUGCGAUACGUAGUGUGAAUUGCAGAAUUCCGUGAACCAUCGAAUCUUUGAACGCAAAUUGCGCUCGAGGCUUCGGCCAAGAGCAUGUCUGCCUCAGCGUCGGGUUAAUAUCACUAUCUAUUAUACUUAUGUAUAAUUCAUUGGUGGAUCUGGCUGUUCCAGCUAGUGCCGUGGCUUUUAAUAGCCGCCUAGUGUGCAUCUGGAUCAGCUGAAGUGCAGAGGCUAACCAAGGACCCGUCAAGGGCCGCAACUGGGUGGGCAGAAAUGCUAAUUCUUAGUUGUUGGCUUGGGACUUUGCUUGUUCGGCCCUCAAACAGGAAUCAAUAACCUAUUUUCUCGACCUGAGCUCAGGCAAGAACACCCGCUGAACUUAA
This 651-nucleotide unclassified non-coding RNA is filed under the name Chlorococcum isabeliense. RNAcentral describes it as "sequence contains 18S rRNA gene, ITS1, 5.8S rRNA gene, ITS2, 28S rRNA gene". The stretch from base 226 to 379 matches the Rfam family "5.8S ribosomal RNA". The record is from RNAcentral. Lineage: Eukaryota; Viridiplantae; Chlorophyta; Chlorophyceae; Chlamydomonadales; Chlorococcaceae.